CAUCCCGAGGAGGGGACCCCUCCCGCCCCGCCGCGACCCCCGCCUCGCCCUCACCUCCGAGCUGGUCUCGUCGGACCCGAGAUGGACAUCAACGCCGUGGAGCCGAGCGGCCGGACGGGCGAUGCAUGGGGGGCCAGACCCAAACACACGCUGGCCCCCCGCACCGGACCCCGCGGAGCCUCCAAAUAUCUCCCGGCUGAAGUCACCGGCCCGACAUACCGUGCGCUGCGCGCCCGGCGGCGCAGCCCCGCGGACACCCGCUUGGCCCCGCGGCGGCCGUGCCGGGCCGUGCCGGGCCGGGGUAACCCAACACCGAGCCUCGGCGGCUGCCGGAGCUCCGGCACGGCCCCCCCCCCCCGGCCCCGCCGCCACCCCCUCCUCGCACCCCGCCGGCCGCAGGUGCCCCGGGUGCUCCGCGCUGCGCUGCGCGGCCCCUGCGCGGGGGGCAGCGGCGGGGGGACGCGCGGGAGGCCGCGGCGAAGUGGCCGUAAACAGUCUCGGCUUACAGCCCCGCGCCCUGUAUUUAUGACUCACCCAGUUGUCCGGAGGUAUGAGGUCCUCAUGUCGCCGGUGCUAUGAAAUUAACGCGGCGGGCGGCUGGGGAGAGCACAGGGAUUGUGCGCCGGCCAAUAAAGCGCUUCGUCUGCA
Long non-coding RNA from Oxyura jamaicensis (ruddy duck), 648 nucleotides. RefSeq lists it as uncharacterized. Lineage: Eukaryota; Metazoa; Chordata; Aves; Anseriformes; Anatidae. The transcript has 2 exons. The record is from RefSeq and is a predicted model, not a curated record.